AUUGACCCCAUUGAAAUUUGAUAUGAUUCCCUUUUAUCUUUGUUCUAAUAUGACUAUGUUCAGCCAUCCAUUUUACCACCCUGAUCAAAUUUAGCUGCAUUCAUUUUUCCUCAAGACAUGUUGAGUUACUAAAACCUUCAUCCCAGUUCAAUUUUAAACAGAGAACCUAGAGACGGUCUGAUUAACUAGCAAGUCUGGGAGAA
Molecule: unclassified non-coding RNA, 203 nt
Filed under: Hevea brasiliensis (rubber tree)
Lineage: Eukaryota; Viridiplantae; Streptophyta; Magnoliopsida; Malpighiales; Euphorbiaceae
Source: RNAcentral